AACGAUAGAGGUGCACCUUUCAUCAGUAGCACAGGCUUAGGCUGCCAAAGCCGUUCGAAGCCUGUGUCAAAGGGAACGGUGCCGAAGGGGGUAUCUUCGGCGGAUACUGCCCUGGGGACGCUCUGAACAAGAACGCCACUGUCACCCGCAGCGUCGGGUGAAGCGCUAUCUGU
Molecule: non-coding RNA, 173 nt
Filed under: uncultured Negativibacillus sp.
Lineage: Bacteria; Bacillati; Bacillota
Description: Lysine riboswitch
Rfam family: Lysine riboswitch aptamer
About the family: Riboswitches are metabolite binding domains within certain messenger RNAs that serve as precision sensors for their corresponding targets. Allosteric rearrangement of mRNA structure is mediated by ligand binding, and this results in modulation of gene expression. This family includes riboswitches that sense lysine in a number of genes involved in lysine metabolism, including lysC.
Source: RNAcentral